AUUGAACGCUGGCGGAAUGCUUUACACAUGCAAGUCGAACGGCAGCACGGACUUCGGUCUGGUGGCGAGUGGCGAACGGGUGAGUAAUACAUCGGAACGUGCCCGGACGUGGGGGAUAACUACUCGAAAGAGUGGCUAAUACCGCAUACGAUCCAAGGAUGAAAGCGGGGGAUCGCAAGACCUCGCGCGUUUGGAGCGGCCGAUGGCAGAUUAGGUAGUUGGUGAGGUAAAGGCUUACCAAGCCUGCGAUCUGUAGCUGGUCUGAGAGGAUGAUCAGCCACACUGGGACUGAGACACGGCCCAGACUCCUACGGGAGGCAGCAGUGGGGAAUUUUGGACAAUGGGCGAAAGCCUGAUCCAGCCAUUCCGCGUGCAGGAUGAAGGCCCUCGGGUUGUAAACUGCUUUUGUACGGAACGAAAAGGCUCUUGCUAAUACCAGGAGUCCAUGACGGUACCGUAAGAAUAAGCAACCGGCUAACUACGUGCCAGC
RNAcentral lists this ribosomal RNA (490 nucleotides) under uncultured bacterium. RNAcentral's name for it is "bacterial SSU rRNA". It matches the Rfam family "Bacterial small subunit ribosomal RNA", at positions 30 to 512 of the family's 1533-position model. The record is from RNAcentral.